This 439-nucleotide ribosomal RNA is filed under the name uncultured Halomonas sp. RNAcentral's name for it is "bacterial SSU rRNA". It matches the Rfam family "Bacterial small subunit ribosomal RNA", at positions 504 to 943 of the family's 1533-position model. The record is from RNAcentral. Lineage: Bacteria; Pseudomonadati; Pseudomonadota; Gammaproteobacteria; Oceanospirillales; Halomonadaceae.
CGGUCCAGCAGCCGCGGUAAUACGGAGGAUGCGAGCGUUAUCCGGAUUUAUGGGUUUAAAGGGAGCGUAGGCGGGAGAUUAAGUCAGCUGUGAAAUUCGGGGGCUCAACCUUGGAAUUGCAGUUGAAACUGGUUUUCUUGAGUGCAGGAGAGGAAGGUAGAAUUCCCGGUGUAGCGGUGAAAUGCGUAGAGAUCGGGAGGAAUACCAGUGGCGAAGGCGGCCUUCUGGACUGACACUGACACUGAGGUGCGAAAGCGUGGGUAGCAAACAGGAUUAGAUACCCUGGUAGUCCACGCCGUAAACGAUGUCGACCAGCCGUUGGGUGCCUAGCGCACUUUGUGGCGAAGUUAACGCGAUAAGUCGACCGCCUGGGGAGUACGGCCGCAAGGUUAAAACUCAAAUGAAUUGACGGGGGCCCGCACAAGCGGUGGAGCAUGUG